GACGAACGCUGGCGGCGUGCUUAACACAUGCAAGUCGAACGGAAAGGCCCUGCAUUUGUACGGUGCUGGUGUGGCGAAAGGGUGAGUAUCACGUGUGUAACCUGCCCUUGUCUUUGGGAUAACUUCAUGAAACUGGGACUAAUACCGGAUAGAAGCUCCUGCUGCAUGGUGGGUAUGGGAGAAUUUCGGCGGUUGGGGAUGGACUCGCGGAUUAUCAGCUUGUUGGUGGGGUAGUGGCUUACCAAGGCUUUGACGGGUAGCCGGCUUGAGAGGGUGACCGGCCACAUUGGGACUGAGAUACGGCCCAGACUCCUACGGGAGGCAGCAGUGGGGAAUAUUGCACAAUGGGCGGAAGCCUGAUGCAGCAACGCCGCGUGCGGGAUGACGGCCGUCGGGUUGUAAACCGCUUUCGCCUGUGACGAAGCGUGAGUGACGGUAAUGGGUAAAGAAGCACCGGCUAACUACGUG
Molecule: ribosomal RNA, 468 nt
Filed under: uncultured bacterium
Lineage: Bacteria
Description: partial 16S ribosomal RNA
Rfam family: Bacterial small subunit ribosomal RNA
Source: RNAcentral